CAGGCAUUCCAGUCGAGGCGACAGAGGGCCGUCUCGCCUGGGCGCCUCUCUCGCCUUUGAUAACACUGAUUAGUUUUGGUGACAUAAAGGCCCUUAUUUUGUUUUCUUUUACUGUGUAUGCAAAACAAGUUGAUUUGUAAUGAAAAUGAUUGUUCUAGCACUAAAAUUAUUGAAUUUAAUUGUGUAAUUGCGAUUGCAAGUCUUCUAAUCACAGCUAGAAACGUGACUAUUUAAUAGCUUUGCCACUUCACGCAGAACAGCUAUGGUGACAGAUCAUGUUGCUGAUGA
RNAcentral lists this unclassified non-coding RNA (288 nucleotides) under Hevea brasiliensis (rubber tree). The record is from RNAcentral. Lineage: Eukaryota; Viridiplantae; Streptophyta; Magnoliopsida; Malpighiales; Euphorbiaceae.